This 5335-nucleotide long non-coding RNA is filed under the name Olea europaea subsp. europaea. The record is from RNAcentral. Lineage: Eukaryota; Viridiplantae; Streptophyta; Magnoliopsida; Lamiales; Oleaceae.
GGUUUCUCAACUAUGCGAGUCCAUCACCAACUUCUUCAACGGUGGCGACCACAUUCCUUGGUCCACUCCUGACGCGAUUCUCGUAAGGAUCUCUGUUUUUUCAUUGUACCAAAUUUGAUACGAUAAGAAUAAUGACCAAGAAAUAGAAAUUUUCUUCUUGGGCUUUGACAAGAUUGGUUGGGGAUUAUUUUUUUCCGUUUUGCCUUGAUAUGGGUUUUCAAUACCUGGUCUAAAAAUCGAAAUUUCUUGGGUAAGUUGAUAUUUAAUUUAAAGGCUUUUGUAGUUUAGUAUUUUCAGUUUUGAUGGGUUUAAAGUAUUAAAGAUAGAUUUGGUUGAAUGAGAUUGAUAUUUGGUUACUUCAGAUAUUAUAGUUCUGUUAAUUUUUAAAUGGUUUUUAGGUUUGAGUUCUGAAGAAUUUGAGAUGUCUUCAAGCACUGCAUUCUAAGUUUGUUAAUGGCAGGCAAAUCUUUGAUGGUGUAAAGGUUCCAAUUUGAGGCUCUAGACUUGAGGUGAUCCUUUUUAUUUAGUGUGACUGUUUGAGAUAGUAUUUAAAGGUGUUGGGCAGUGCUUUUUGGAAGGUAUUUGAGGGCUUGUGUGAAUCUCGUCUAGUUCUUAGAUGAUUUUUGAGGAUUGCGUGUAUCUAAACUCCCAAGGGCUGGCGGACUGGAUGAUUUGAAUCGACAACAACAAACUAAGUCCUAUCUGCUGGGGGCAAAAGUUGAGAUUUUCAGGGAAGAAUGAAAGUGGACUUGUACUGAUUGCCAUGAUCCUCCACAUGCAUACAAGUGUGCAAGGUUCAUAUUUUCUACAGGAGGCAUCCAAUGAAUUAAAAGUCAUAAUGUAUGUGUCCAUUGAUUAAAUUUUUUUGUGGGAGUCGGCCCCCUUUUUUUCACCUUUUUUUGAAAUGGUGGUGUUAGUUUUGAGUUAUUAUUUCAUGACGAAUGCCAACCUAGACUUCUUAAAUGCCGGCAUGUGUUUUUCAUUCUUGAAUGUAUACUUGGGAAGUUCUUUGAUCUUGCACGUUGCACCAACAAGAGUGUUCUUUGGACAUGACGUCCAGAGCUGUAGGCCGGUUGUAGUUUAUCAGAUAGUAUUCAUAUAGGUUAAUGAGCUAAGGUGAUUGUGGAUCAAAUAUGUUAAGCACUGUGUCUGUCUUCACAGCUGAUAAUUAGUUAAUUAUAUUUAUAAGAUAAUACUUUUGUACUUGCGAAAUUCAGAGGUCAAUGUUCACUGUUUUUUGCUGAACGAAACUUCUAGAUAUCUUGAAAUAUACUCUCGAUUGCUAGAGCUACUUAGUUGGAAUGUAUUCUAAAGAUUAUUUUAGAUGAUAUGAUGGUCUCUGGAAUCUGGAUAUUAGAUUAAAUCUAAUUUACCGAUAUAAGAGCCUAAAUCAAUGGGUUAACGCCCACAUCUUAACAACAUAAUCAGUAAAACAAACCUGGGAUCAUUGCUAAAGGACCAGAAUGCCUGGGAUGAAGGUUUCUCCUCCUCAGAGUAGUCCAAGCUAGUGCAUUCUAACAUUGAUUCAAGAGUGUUGAAUAUUUGAGCUAUCAAAACACAUUAGAGGUUUGGCAUAUUAUUCAGGUUAUUCUUGAUCUACCAAUUGAACCUUUCAUAAUGUAACAUGUGUGUUAGAUUCUCUCUCUUUUUAACCUAUAGCCAGAGACGGAUCCAGGAAAUAAGGAUACAAGGGCUGAAAUCUAAGAAAGUCUCCCCUUCACUUCACUAUUUAACCACGCUCCCAAACUUAAAUAUUGGACAAGUAUUAACUAGUUUUUCAUAGAGAGUUCUAAAUACAGCCAAACAAGGUUGUUCAAGAGUUUAAUUUCAAAUCCUGAAGAAAAAGAAUGCAAUUUCAUCCAUUAUUUGACGUUUGUCCUUAGAUCAUCUCAAUACAAAAAUGAAUAACAUACUCAUCACGACCCCCUGUACAUUACAAUUUAGGCAGAAUGUAGUUUCUCUAAUUAUCUAUAUUUGUUCCUAGGUCAUCUUAAUACAAAAAUGAAUAUUCUACCCUUUAAAAAUUGGACCUUUUCCCCUCUUUCCCAAUUCACAAAAUGAUAAGACUCCAAAGGCAUCAAAGAUUCAAAAUUCCAUAGACAGUCCUACCAUUUCACCGGUUAACUCAUCUCAAUGAACGUCAUUCACGCAUUUUUCCAGUUCAGCUAUGGAUUAAUUAAAUUUUAGUUAAUAUAAAUUAAGCCAAAGUACAAAGAUCAAUUUGAAAUAGAUCAAAUACUAUCCAAACAUGUCAUUAGUUAGCUUUAUCUUUCCACUACGCCAGAAACAUAAAUCAAAAGGAAUUUAAAAUUCUGGAAUCAUAAUUCAGAAACAAUCAUAUACUAGAAUUUAGUUCGGCUGUUAUAUCAAAAGGAUAUAUAAUAUAUGAAUAACAAAAUCAGUAGAAGUCACAUCUUUAACAACCCUAUCUUAGAAAAUAACACUCACAUAUAGUUCAAUAGCCACAUAUCAUUUGCAACCUUUAAAAAUUGGCCAUUUUCCCCUCUUUUUAAAUUUGCAAAAUGACUCGCCUCUAAAUGCAUAAAAAAAUUCAAAACCACAUUCACCACCAAAAAACAUAAAAACAAUGGAUAAAAAAUAAAUCUUACACAUUCACUGCCUAAUUAAUAAUAAAUGCAACCUUUAAAAAUUGGCUAUUUUCCCUUCUUUUUAAGAUUUAUUCCUUUGAAAGAGAUCCCAGGUGCAGUGCCUAUUCAAUCUGAAUCGGAUCUUGCAGUUUCAGACCGGUCCUUUAGGUUAUUCACCACCAUAUUAAAUAAAUGCAACCAAAUUAAAGCAUCAAAAUGAACUAAAAAUAAUAAUAAAGAAAAAGAAUACAGUUGCUCACAAGUCAUAGACAUGGACUGGGAUGGUGACGGGUGACGAUGUGACACUCACAAACUAAAACUCAGAGGCGGUAGUCGACGGUCACAUUCACAAGACUCACAAUCACAACACAAAAGAGUCUGAAAUUUGGAAAUGGAAAAAUUUCGUGAUUUAGCCUCUGAUUGACUAUGGAUUAGAAUGGGUAUUUGGAUUUUGGACAAUGGGCCUAAUUGCAAAAUCCUAAUGUUUAAAAAAGGGAUUGCCCAAACUAAAAGCCCACUACAAAAAAGUCCUAAACCAAACAUUCAUUUCAUUUCCUUCACAGCUUCACCUUCCCUUGCAUUUCAAUCUUCACAUUCUGCCGGUGCCAAUCACCAUGGACGGAAUUCAAGGUUCAACAAAGCCAGCACGAGCAACCACGCCCACUUGCCGGGUGCAAGCUCCAUCCCUACUCACCAAUUAUUAAAGCUUCGUCACUACGCCUCCAACAAGAUGAGGUUUUGAGGGACGAGGCUUGACCAUAAUGACUUUGCAUGGGAAGAGCAUUUGGAAUGACGUAGUAUUGACCAUCUUACACUAAAGGCAACCUUUAAAAACUGGCCAUUUUCCCCCUAGCACCUCAAUGUGUUUUGCUCACAUAGUUGUAAACUUGUGACAAUUUUUUGUCAUUGAGAUAGAGCUGUAGGGAUGAUUGCUUUUGAUUUAACCCAUUGUGGAAUAUUUGUUAGCUCAGUAUUAUUAGCUUGUCAUGAAUAUGGAUAGAUAUCUUUCAUUUACCUUGUGUUUCCCAAAGGCAAGUAGUUGAAGACAGUGAUGUUGUCAUAUUAUUUGUCAAGACUCAAGUUGGUAUUGUUCUAGCUUAUCUCCAUUUCCCAUGUUCACUUAUUUUGUUUGGUACCUUCCUGUGAGUUUUAUUUGUCUUAGUUUCUGGAUACUUUCAAUCUAUCAAGGUGCUACAAGGAGAUUAAAUAAGUGUGUAGGUUCUUUAUUCUUAUUCUUCAGUUGUGCUAUUGAAAUGUAAAAUGACUAAAUUUACAAGUAACAUGAAUUUUUCGCAAUCAUUAUAUUCAAAUAAAUGUAUCUGGUCUCUAACCUCAUUUUUCUUUAUCUUUCCACUUUGCACAGGGGCUGUGGAGGGAGGAGCACAAUCUGUUAUUUUUAUGAUAAUAAACGUAUCUCUUUUUUAGGGUUGUUGCCCACAAUCAUCAUAUGUGGUUUUUCAAAAAAUUAGGCUAUUUUCAAAGCUUAAAUAAGCGACUAACAACUCCUAUGAAGAUUUUAAAAGUUGGCAACAUUUAUUUCAAUCAGUCCUUUUAGAGUUAAUGGUUGCUUGAAUGCUAUAUAUGUAAAACACUCAGUAAACAUGUGGAAAAUUAUGUUGGACACACUAGAACUAAAAUACUUCAAUCUGUGGAUAGUGGAUACUGUGGUUUACUUGAAUUAAUUGCUGAGCAUCCAGGAUAGAAACACAUUUGUCCAUGCUCAUCGUAAAAUUCAAAAUAAUCUAUUGAGAAAAAUCUAGCAGAUCUUUGUUGGCUUCUGGUUCCUUUUCCAUCUUUUUCGUAAUUUGUUCACUGAACAUUUUAGAAGAAGAUGUCUUAGAUGUUGCUUUGAAUACUAAGCUAUUCUCUUGAUGCGUAACAUAUUUACAGAUAAAGGCGAGGUACUGCAGUUGAGGUCACUCCUUUCGGAGAAGCAGCUUUUGGUGUCAGUUGUUGUUGGAGUUAAACUAAAAGAUUUGCAGGUUUGUCACGGGCGGAUCCAAAAAAUCAUGUUGGGGUGGGGGGUGGGGGCUGAAAUUUAAAAUAUAUGUGCACAAAUUUUUAUAAAGUAUACAACAUAAAAUUUCAUUACGACAUUACCUACUAAAGUUGUGUCCGUCGAGCUUUAACUGCAUAAAACUCGUCUAUAAUAGAAUCUACUUACAAAACAAUUAUUCUAAAACUAAUCAAAAUUGAUACCAUAAAUAACCUAACCGGGUAACCCAUUAGAUAUGAAUCUCAAUCUCAAUUCUCAAACUGAAUAAUGAAAACAAUAAUGCGUAAAAGCAAUAAGAGAGUGAUAUGUCAUUUCAACAAACACCUUGUCUACAAGUGUAAGGAAGAGAUGCACGAGUCUAAAUAAAUUGAAUUUCAAAACUUUUUGUGUCUUACCACCCAAAAAUGCAAGUAAAUAAAAAUUCUGCUGAGUUUAAUAAUUAGAUUUUAGCCUGUAAGAAUUCGAAAAGCUCUCUUUCAAAAACUCCAAAAUUCAAAAAUCAGCAUAUAAUCUUGGCCUGUUAGUAUACAAUUUUACACUUUUACUUUGCCUUGUUCCCACAAUUGACAAUCACAAUCCCACUAAUUUAAUAAUUAUUACCCAAAAUCUAGUCUUCUAUAUCCAUUUCCUGAUUUUCAUUCAGUCGACAACUCAACACUAGUUUGGGAAAAUCCGAAAAUGUUCCUAUUGUGACUUAUUCAAUGAAAAAGAAUCCAAAUAGAAAUGACAAUACCUAUUACCUCAGAACGUG